This is a non-coding RNA of Ceratotherium simum simum (southern white rhinoceros), 97 nucleotides long. Lineage: Eukaryota; Metazoa; Chordata; Mammalia; Perissodactyla; Rhinocerotidae. The record is from RefSeq and is a predicted model, not a curated record.
UACUCACCUCUGUUAUUGUAGCUCAAAGGCAGUCAUAGACAGUACAUACAUGAAUAAGCAUGGCUGUGUUCCAAGAAUUUUAUUGCAGAAACAGGGC